RNAcentral lists this ribosomal RNA (229 nucleotides) under uncultured bacterium. Its description in RNAcentral is "partial 16S ribosomal RNA". It matches the Rfam family "Bacterial small subunit ribosomal RNA", at positions 568 to 796 of the family's 1533-position model. The record is from RNAcentral.
CGUGUAGGCGGCCUGGUAAGUCAGAUGUGAAAGCCCGGGGCUUAACCCCGGAAGUGCAUUUGAUACUGUCAGGCUUGAGUAUGGGAGAGGGAAGUGGAAUUCCUGGUGUAGAGGUGAAAUUCGUAGAUAUCAGGAGGAACACCGGUGGCGAAGGCGACUUCCUGGACCAAUACUGACGCUGAGGCGCGAAGGCGUGGGGAGCAAACAGGAUUAGAUACCCUGGUAGUCC